Molecule: ribosomal RNA, 375 nt
Filed under: Triticum aestivum (bread wheat)
Lineage: Eukaryota; Viridiplantae; Streptophyta; Magnoliopsida; Poales; Poaceae
Description: partial small subunit ribosomal RNA
Source: RNAcentral
AUGGCCAAAUACUUUUGGAGCAGCUCUAUCGAGAAGAAUACGUUGCAUUGGGUUUCCUGUAAUAAUCUGGCAACACCAAAGUGCAAAGGGGAAAUGGGGUUCCGAGACCCCCAUCAGUUUAAUCUUAUGUUUCUUGGGAAGCAUGGUUGGCGUCUUAUGACUAACCCUAGUUCUCUUUGUGCAAGGGUACUGAAGGGCCGCUACUACCCUGAUACAAAUGUUAUGCAUGCUCUUGUUCCCAAAUCGGCGUUAGCAACUUGGCAAGCGAUCAUUGCUGGUAGGGGAGCAUUGCAAGCGGGUCUUAUUAAGAGAGUGGGAGACGGUAAUUCCAUUGAUGUGUGGACUGGUAAGUGGAUUCCUGGACCAUCUCUAUGA